Molecule: transfer RNA, 73 nt
Filed under: Nanobdellota archaeon
Lineage: Archaea; Nanobdellati; Nanobdellota
Description: tRNA-Gln
Rfam family: tRNA
About the family: Transfer RNA (tRNA) molecules are approximately 80 nucleotides in length. Their secondary structure includes four short double-helical elements and three loops (D, anti-codon, and T loops).
Source: RNAcentral
AGCCCCGUAGUCUAGCGGUCAAGGAUUUAUGCCUUUGGAGCAUAAGACCCCGGUUCGAAUCCGGGCGGGGCUA